GAUGAAGAACGUAGCGAAAUGCGAUAAGUAGUGUGAAUUGCAGAAUUCAGUGAAUCAUCGAAUCUUUGAACGCACAUUGCGCCCCUCGGUAUUCCGUGGGGCAUGCCUGUUCGAGCGUCAUUUAACCCCUCAAGCCUAGCUUGGUAUUGGGUGCUUGUCCCGCCUCUCGCGCGGCGACUCACCUCAAAGUCAUUGGCAGCCCGCAUCUCGCCGGCCGUGAGCGCAGCACAGACGCGCUCUUGGCAACGACGGAUCGGCUCUCCAAAAGCUUAUUGCAACCACUGACCUCGGAUCAGGUAGGGAUACCCGCUGAACUUAAGCAUAUCAAUAAGCGGAGGA
Molecule: unclassified non-coding RNA, 339 nt
Filed under: soil metagenome
Description: partial contains 5.8S ribosomal RNA, internal transcribed spacer 2, and large subunit ribosomal RNA
Rfam family: 5.8S ribosomal RNA (bases 1-120)
Source: RNAcentral